Molecule: ribosomal RNA, 520 nt
Filed under: uncultured bacterium
Lineage: Bacteria
Description: bacterial SSU rRNA
Rfam family: Bacterial small subunit ribosomal RNA
Source: RNAcentral
AGGACGAACGCUGGCGGCGUGCCUAAUACAUGCAAGUCGAACGGUCUUUCUAUGGAAGCUUGCUUCCACUGGGAAGAUAGUGGCGAACGGGUGAGUAACACGUGGGUAACCUGCCCAUAAGAGGGGGGAUAACAUCCGGAAACGGGUGCUAAUACCGCAUAGUUUUCUUGAUCGCAUGAUUGAGAAAGGAAAGACGGCCUUUGUGCUGUCGCUUAUGGAUGGACCCGCGGCGUAUUAGUUAGUUGGUGAGGUAACGGCUCACCAAGACGAUGAUACGUAGCCGACCUGAGAGGGUGAUCGGCCACAUUGGGACUGAGACACGGCCCAAACUCCUACGGGAGGCAGCAGUAGGGAAUCUUCCGCAAUGGACGAAAGUCUGACGGAGCAACGCCGCGUGAGUGAAAGAAGGUUUUCGGAUCGUAAAACUCUGUUGUCAGAGAAGAACAAGUUGGAGAGUAACUGCUCCAGCCUUGACGGUAUCUGACCAGAAAGCCACGGCUAACUACGUGCCAGCCGCGGC